Molecule: small RNA, 78 nt
Filed under: Flavobacterium sp. 9
Lineage: Bacteria; Pseudomonadati; Bacteroidota; Flavobacteriia; Flavobacteriales; Flavobacteriaceae
Description: Flavo-1 RNA
Rfam family: Flavo-1 RNA
Source: RNAcentral
AUCUAGCCCCGAUAGAGCCGGUAUCCUUUUUCUGGCUUUUUUAGACAGAAAAAGAUAUAGGUGAAAGCGGGAAUAAAG